AGGGAGCUGAGCUGGUCCCUCUGUGUGUCAGGGGUAUGUGUCAGUGGGCCGAGAGUUGACGACCUCCGUGAGCAUGGCUCCUGAGAAAGCAGAGGGCCAAGAAUAGGGCAGGGCAGGAUGGCUGCAGGAGAGAGCCCUGGUCAUCUCCCUUCCCUGCCUCACUCUUGUCCCCAUCAGGUUUCCUCAAGUCCCGAGAACGCUCCAGCCACAAGCUGUACUCUCAGCUGCUGCACACGCAGAUGUUCUCACAGUUCAUCGAAGAAUGUUCUUUUGGCUCUGCUCGGCAUGCUGCCCUUGAAUUCUUUGACUCUUGUGUUGAUAAGGUAUCAAGUAUGUCCCUUCUCUAUGUGCCCAGUGGUCUCUGCUCUCCUUCUGCUUCUCUCUUGCCCACAGGCUACUGUAAACCCAAAUAUGUCUCAGCUGUGACAGGGAGGGCACCCCUGGAGUCACGAGCACACAGCGUGUGCCACUGGCUUCCUCUGCGAAGUAUCGUCCCAUUCUCAACUCUGUCCCCCAGCCGGGUCUUCAGGACUCCUUCCCUGCGGACGUGCUUUCCUGGAAGAUGCCAUAUUCCGGACGUCUGGCAUGCUCCAUGCCCACUGUCUUUUUAUUUUAUUUUUUGCGGUACUGAGGAUCGCACCUACGAGUGCUCUGCCACGGAGCUGCCUCCCCGAUUCUUUUUAUUUUUCAUUUUGAGGCAGGGUCUUACUAAGUUGCCAAGGCUGGCCUCAACUUUCAGUCCUGCCUUGGCUCCCAAGUCACUGGGGUACAAGUUGCGUAGCACCCUGCACCUGCCAUGCCUGUCGUCUGACGCUGCGUGCUCCCCUUGCUGUUCAGGUCCACCCGGAGCAGGAGAAGCCCGAGACAGCGCCCUUAGUGGAGCUGGAAGAACUCUCGGGAAGCGAGCUCACUGUCUUUAUCACCCCCCCUGAGGAGCCCCCCGCACCAGAGGGCAGUGAAUCCACUCCCCAGUACUGGUGAGAGAUUUUGUCCCCUCCUGUGUCCCAAGUGGACCCUUGGAUGGUCCACUUCAGGUGCCUGGCCCUGUAUUGAUAUCGGCUCUCUCUGCCCCUCAGCUAUGAUGGGUUCCCAGAAUUACGGGCUGAGCUAUUUGAGUCUCCUCAAGAGCAACCAGGGGCCCUGCCUGUGCCAGGCCCAUCCCGUAGCGCCCCCAGCAGUCCUGCCCCUCGCCGUACCAAACAGGUAAGCAGCUCUUGGACCCCACGGGGAACCUGGCUCAGGCCGAGGGCGGCUGCUUCGUUU
This 1263-nucleotide long non-coding RNA is filed under the name Marmota monax (woodchuck). Lineage: Eukaryota; Metazoa; Chordata; Mammalia; Rodentia; Sciuridae. The record is from RNAcentral.